UAGGGAAUCUUCCACAAUGGGGCGAAAGCCUGAUGGAGCAACGCCGCGUGAGUGAAGAAGGAUUUCGGUUCGUAAAACUCUGUUGUAAGGGAAGAACAAGUAGCGUAGUAACUGGCGCUACCUUGACGGUACCUUAUUAGAAAGCCACGGCUAACUACGUGCCAGCAGCCGCGGUAAUACGUAGGUGGCAAGCGUUGUCCGGAAUUAUUGGGCGUAAAGCGCGCGCAGGCGGUCCUUUAAGUCUGAUGUGAAAGCCCACGGCUCAACCGUGGAGGGUCAUUGGAAACUGGGGGACUUGAGUGCAGAAGAGGAAAGUGGAAUUCCAAGUGUAGCGGUGAAAUGCGUAGAGAUUUGGAGGAACACCAGUGGCGAAGGCGACUUUCUGGUCUGUAACUGACGCUG
This 402-nucleotide ribosomal RNA is filed under the name uncultured Peptococcaceae bacterium. Its description in RNAcentral is "bacterial SSU rRNA". It matches the Rfam family "Bacterial small subunit ribosomal RNA", at positions 355 to 748 of the family's 1533-position model. Lineage: Bacteria; Bacillati; Bacillota; Clostridia; Eubacteriales; Peptococcaceae. The record is from RNAcentral.